GAUGAACGCUGGCGGCGUGCUUAACACAUGCAAGUCGAACGGGACUAUUUCGAAGGAAGGCUUCGGCCGGAAUUUGGUUUAGUCUAGUGGCGGACGGGUGAGUAACGCGUGAGUAACCUGCCCUUCGGAGGGGGACAACAGCUGGAAACGGCUGCUAAUACCGCAUAUUCUGUUCUGAUCGCAUGAUCGGGACAGGAAAGAUUUAUCGCCGAAGGAUGGACUCGCGUCUGAUUAGCUAGUUGGUGAGGUAACGGCUCACCAAGGCGACGAUCAGUAGCCGGACUGAGAGGUUGAACGGCCACAUUGGGACUGAGAUACGGCCCAGACUCCUACGGGAGGCAGCAGUGGGGAAUAUUGGGCAAUGGGCGCAAGCCUGACCCAGCAACGCCGCGUGGAGGUAGAAGGCCCACGGGUCGUGAACUUCUUUUCCCGGAGAAGAAGCAAUGACGGUAUCUGGGGAAUAAGCAUCGGCUAACUCUGUGCCAGCAGCCGCAGUAACAC
RNAcentral lists this ribosomal RNA (501 nucleotides) under uncultured bacterium. RNAcentral's name for it is "bacterial SSU rRNA". It matches the Rfam family "Bacterial small subunit ribosomal RNA", at positions 28 to 526 of the family's 1533-position model. The record is from RNAcentral.